This is a non-coding RNA of Agelaius phoeniceus (red-winged blackbird), 730 nucleotides long. The record is from RefSeq and is a predicted model, not a curated record. NCBI's taxonomy places the organism in Eukaryota, Metazoa, Chordata, Aves, Passeriformes, Icteridae.
CUCUGCCGUCGCCCCGGCUGGGACAGCGGCCCGUCCUCCCUCCCAGCCUGGCGGGCUCCGGGCGAUGCUGAAAGAUCCUGGAAUCCCGCCCGGCAGUGCCCCUUGUUCCGGGCAGGCACACCAGGCUCCCAAGUGCUUGCUAUCAGCUUCCAUCAGAUCCAGAUUAAGAAAUUAGCCUUCGACUAAUCAUUUAAAUUAAUGGUCCCAGACUGGUACAUAAAGUUAGCUGACGCAGGUCCAGCCUAGACUUCAGCCUUUCCUAAAGCACGCCUGGGGUGCUGCUUUCCUGCCUGUCUCUUCUGUCCUUCGGUGGGAGCACGGUGGCAACUGGAAACUGGCAUUGAAGUGGCCUCAAACGCUGGCACUGAGGGUCAGCCUGAGGCCUUUGAGCACAGAGUGUGGCCAGAGCAAAGCACAGACCUAUGUUGCAGUGGUGGACAUGGUUUUGUCACAGUGCUAACACUCAACAACCCAGCCAGGAAUCAGCAGCCAUCCUGUCCUGCUGUGAACGUUAUUGAAAUGAUCCUCAGGUGAUGUUUCCAAUUCUAACAUCCUAUUUCCUCUAAGGUACUUUAAAAACAGUUUUAAUAACAGUCAAGGCAGAGGGCACAUCAAACAACCAAUUAAAUUUGCUUUGAACAGCUCCUACCUGAUAAAAAUAAAUGCAGAGAAAAUAUUGAUGGUGGGUCAUAUGCACUGAGUACUUGUUGAAAUUAUGAUAAACUGCACU